AGUACUGUGAAGGAAAGGUGAAAAGGACCCCGGGAGGGGAGUGAAAGAGAACCUGAAACCCUGUGUUUACAAGCUGUCGGAGCACUAUAUAUGUGCGACGGCGUACUUUUUGUAGAACGGUCCGGCGAGUUAUGGCAUGUGGUAAGGUUAAGUACUUCAGGUACGGAGCCGAAGCGAAAGCGAGUGUGAAAAGCACGUUCUAAUCGCCUGUCAUAUACCCGAAACCGGGUGAUCUAUCCAUGUCCAGGAUGAAGUUGCCGUAAAAGGCAAUGGAGGUCCGAACACACAUCCGUUGAAAAGGGUGGUGAUGAGGUGUGGAUAGGGGAGAAAUUCCAAUCGAACCCGGAGAUAGCUGGUUCUCCUCGAAAUAGCUUUAGGGCUAGCCCAUGACAAGUCUGCCGCAGGUAGAGCACUGAAUUUCCUAGGGGGCGUCAAAGCCUACCGAAGAAUAUCAAACUCCGAAUGGCGGCCAGAUGGUGUCAUGGAGUCAGACUGCACGAGAUAAGUUGGGUGGUCAAAAGGGAAAGAGCCCAGACCCACAGCUAAGGUCCCAAAGUGCGUGUUAAGUGGAAAAGGAUGUGGGAUUUCGAAGACAACUAGGAUGUUGGCUCAGAAGCAGCCACACAUUAAAAGAGUGCGUAAUAGCUCACUAGUCGAGAGGUCCUGCGCCGAAAAUGUCCGGGGCUGAAACACGACACCGAAGCUUGGGAAUCCUACGGGAUUGGUAGAGGAGCAUUGAAGACGGGACGAAGCGUAACCGUAAGGAUACGUGGACUGUCUUGAAGAGAGAAUGCCGGAAUGAGUAGCGAGAAUGAAGUGAGAAUCUUCAUGGCCGAAUAUCUAAGGUUUCCAGGGUAAAGCUGAUCUGCCCUGGGUAAGUCGGGACCUAAGGCGAGGUCGAAAGACGUAGCCGAUGGACAACAGGUUGAAAUUCCUGUACUGCAUUAAAUCAGAACUGUGGGGACACAGAAGGAAGGCAUGAGCCGGAAAAGGAAAAUCCGGUGCAAGCAUGGGAGGGGUAUGACAGGCAAAUCCGUCAUGCAACCCGAGAAUGUGACGCGGAGCGAACAAAAGUAGCGAAGCAUGCUUACCGGCUGUCGAGAAAAGCCGCUAUUGCGUUUAAUGCACCCGUACCGUAAACCGACACAGGUGGAUGAGGAGAGAAUCCUAAGGCCGGCGGGAGAAGCAUUGUUAAGGAACUCGGCAAAAUGACCCCGUAACUUCGGGAGAAGGGGUGCUCUUAGAAAUAAGAGCCGCAGAGAAUUGGCCCAAGCAACUGUUUAGCAAAAACACAGGUCUAUGCAAAACCGAAAGGUGAGGUAUAUGGGCUGACGCCUGCCCGGUGCUGGAAGGUUAAGAGGAGAGGUCAGAGCAAUCGAAGCCUUGAAUUUAAGCCCCAGUAAACGGCGGCCGUAACUAUAACGGUCCUAAGGUAGCGAAAUUCCUUGUCGGGUAAGUUC
This 1460-nucleotide ribosomal RNA is filed under the name human gut metagenome. Its description in RNAcentral is "bacterial LSU rRNA". It matches the Rfam family "Bacterial large subunit ribosomal RNA", at positions 497 to 1983 of the family's 2925-position model. The record is from RNAcentral.